RNAcentral lists this ribosomal RNA (465 nucleotides) under Vreelandella stevensii. Its description in RNAcentral is "partial 16S ribosomal RNA". It matches the Rfam family "Bacterial small subunit ribosomal RNA", at positions 338 to 795 of the family's 1533-position model. Lineage: Bacteria; Pseudomonadati; Pseudomonadota; Gammaproteobacteria; Oceanospirillales; Halomonadaceae. The record is from RNAcentral.
CCUACGGGUGGCAGCAGUGGGGAAUAUUGGACAAUGGGGGGAACCCUGAUCCAGCCAUGCCGCGUGUGUGAAGAAGGCCCUCGGGUUGUAAAGCACUUUCAGUGAGGAAGAACGCCUGGUGGUUAAUACCCAUCAGGAAAGACAUCACUCACAGAAGAAGCACCGGCUAACUCCGUGCCAGCAGCCGCGGUAAUACGGAGGGUGCGAGCGUUAAUCGGAAUUACUGGGCGUAAAGCGCGCGUAGGUGGCUUGAUAAGCCGGUUGUGAAAGCCCCGGGCUCAACCUGGGAACGGCAUCCGGAACUGUCAAGCUAGAGUGCAGGAGAGGAAGGUAGAAUUCCCGGUGUAGCGGUGAAAUGCGUAGAGAUCGGGAGGAAUACCAGUGGCGAAGGCGGCCUUCUGGACUGACACUGACACUGAGGUGCGAAAGCGUGGGUAGCAAACAGGCUUAGAUACCCUGGUAGUC